AGAGUUUGAUCCUGGCUCAGGAUGAACGCUGGCGGCGUGCUUAACACAUGCAAGUCGAACGAUGAUCCCCAGCUUGCUGGGGGGAUUAGUGGCGAACGGGUGAGUAACACGUGAGUAACCUGCCCAAGACUCUGGGAUAAGCCUGGGAAACUGGGUCUAAUACUGGAUGCCGACUUUCCGCCGCAUGGUGGGGGGUUGAAAGGCUUUUGUUGGUUUUGGAUGGACUCGCGGCCUAUCAGCUUGUUGGUGGGGUAAUGGCCUACCAAGGCGACGACGGGUAGCCGGCCUGAGAGGGUGACCGGCCACACUGGGACUGAGACACGGCCCAGACUCCUACGGGAGGCAGCAGUGGGGAAUAUUGCACAAUGGGCGAAAGCCUGAUGCAGCGACGCCGCGUGAGGGAUGACGGCCUUCGGGUUGUAAACCUCUUUCAGUAGGGAACAAGGCCGGGCUUUGUCUGGUUGAGGGUACUUGCAGAAGAAGCGCCGGCUAACUACGUGCCAGCAGCCGCGGUAAUACGUAGGGCGCAAGCGUUAUCCGGAAUUAUUGGGCGUAAAGAGCUCGUAGGCGGUUUGUCGCGUCUGCCGUGAAAGUCCGGGGCUCAACCCCGGAUCUGCGGUGGGUACGGGCAGACUAGAGUGAUGUAGGGGAGACUGGAAUUCCUGGUGUAGCGGUGAAAUGCGCAGAUAUCAGGAGGAACACCGAUGGCGAAGGCAGGUCUCUGGGCAUUAACUGACGCUGAGGAGCGAAAGCAUGGGGAGCGAACAGGAUUAGAUACCCUGGUAGUCCAUGCCGUAAACGUUGGGCACUAGGUGUGGGGGACAUUCCACGUUUUCCGCGCCGUAGCUAACGCAUUAAGUGCCCCGCC
Molecule: ribosomal RNA, 868 nt
Filed under: uncultured bacterium
Lineage: Bacteria
Description: bacterial SSU rRNA
Rfam family: Bacterial small subunit ribosomal RNA
Source: RNAcentral